This 26-nucleotide non-coding RNA is filed under the name Homo sapiens (human). Lineage: Eukaryota; Metazoa; Chordata; Mammalia; Primates; Hominidae. The record is from RNAcentral.
UGCUCUUGAGAUGGAUCAACUGGGGA